UACGUAGGAGGCGAGCGUUGUCCGGAUUUACUGGGCGUAAAGGGCGCGUAGGUGGCCGGGUCCGUCGGUGGUGCAAGCUUCAGGCUUAACCUGGAGAGGUCCGCCGAUACCACUUGGCUUGAGGUCGGUAGAGGAGCAUGGAAUUCCUGGUGUAGUGGUGAAAUGCGUAGAUAUCAGGAGGAACACUAGUGGCAAAAGCGGUGCUCUGGGCCGACCCUGACGCUGAGGCGCGAAAGCGUGGGGAGCAAACCGG
This 253-nucleotide ribosomal RNA is filed under the name uncultured bacterium. Its description in RNAcentral is "partial 16S ribosomal RNA". It matches the Rfam family "Bacterial small subunit ribosomal RNA", at positions 524 to 776 of the family's 1533-position model. The record is from RNAcentral.